This 419-nucleotide ribosomal RNA is filed under the name uncultured eukaryote. Its description in RNAcentral is "bacterial SSU rRNA". It matches the Rfam family "Eukaryotic small subunit ribosomal RNA", at positions 592 to 1017 of the family's 1831-position model. The record is from RNAcentral.
CAAUAGCGUAUAUUAAAGUUGUUGCAGUUAAAAAGCUCGUAGUUGGAUUUCUGCCGAGGACGACCGGUCCGCCCUCUGGGUGUGUAUCUGGCUCGGCCUGGGCAUCUUCUUGGAGAACGUAUCUGCACUUGACUGUGUGGUGCGGUAUCCAGGACUUUUACUUUGAGGAAAUUAGAGUGUUUAAAGCAGGCAUUUGCUAUGAAUACAUUAGCAUGGAAUAAUAAUCUAGGACUUCGGUUCUAUUUUGUGGUUUCUAGAUCUGAAGUAAUGAUUGAUAGGGAUAGUUGGGGGUGCUAGUAUUAAGGGGCCAGAGGUGAAAUUCUUGGAUUCGGUCAAGACUAACUUAUGCGAAAGCAUUCACCAAGGAUGUCUUCUUUAAUCAAGAACGAAAGUUGGGGAUCGAAGACGAUCAGAUACCA